RNAcentral lists this long non-coding RNA (648 nucleotides) under Hordeum vulgare. RNAcentral describes it as "long non-coding RNA (HVUL_LNC019015)". The record is from RNAcentral. Lineage: Eukaryota; Viridiplantae; Streptophyta; Magnoliopsida; Poales; Poaceae.
GAGCAUUGCAGAAGAUAAAAAAAAUCAGAACAUGUCAUGUUUAUGGAAGUAUGGCCAUCAUGUGAACCUACAAAACGAAACGGAGCAUUUAGCUUCUUCCUUAUGAAGUGUCAAAUGUUUAUGUGUUAUCAAAAGGACUGGAAUGUUAGCAUGCUUUAGAUCAUCCUUUAGUCCUGAAUAGAUAUAUUUUUACGUAGCUCUUUUCCAAUAAUAAAUUCGGCAAUUCGUUCAUCUAUUACACCCUAGGAACGAAUAUACCUAACAAAUAAAAAAAAUCCAUUUCAAAUUAUAGACACGCGGGCUAUUAGGUAACUAUAAUAUUUUUAGCAAACUAUCAAUAACUAACCAAAAUUCCUGAAUCUGUAACAUGUAUUACUGAUAUUAAUAAUUAAGUAAUAUCUGCUACACAGGACAUAAAAUGUGAAAAUGCAUGCUAAGAUUAGAUUCAUGAUGGCUGCAUUUAACUUUAUCUUGCAGUCUUUUCCUGUCCCUUGAUGUUUUGGCAUCCACUUGUUGGCGUACCUCGAAGUCGGGACCAACUCCUAUGCUCCCUCCUGUAACCAACAUAAGCCUAAUGUCAUGAAAACAUGUUAACAUCACGAUAGUUUCAGUUCAAAAUAAAACCAUAAAAGAAACCUACAAAAGUUU